This 385-nucleotide ribosomal RNA is filed under the name uncultured bacterium. RNAcentral describes it as "bacterial SSU rRNA". It matches the Rfam family "Bacterial small subunit ribosomal RNA", at positions 30 to 417 of the family's 1533-position model. The record is from RNAcentral.
AUUGAACGCUGGCGGCAUGCCUUACACAUGCAAGUCGAACGGCAGCGGACCUUCGGGUGCCGGCGAGUGGCGAACGGGUGAGUAAUAUAUCGGAACGUACCUUUCAGUGGGGGAUAACGUAGCGAAAGUCACGCUAAUACCGCAUAUUCUGUGAGCAGGAAAGCAGGGGAUCGCAAGACCUUGCGCUGAUUGAGCGGCCGAUAUCAGAUUAGCUAGUUGGUGAGGUAAAGGCUCACCAAGGCGACGAUCUGUAGCGGGUCUGAGAGGAUGAUCCGCCACACUGGAACUGAGACACGGUCCAGACUCCUACGGGAGGCAGCAGUGGGGAAUUUUGGACAAUGGGCGCAAGCCUGAUCCAGCCAUGCCGCGUGAGUGAAGAAGGCCU